UACGUAGGUCCCGAGCGUUGUCCGGAUUUAUUGGGCGUAAAGCGAGCGCAGGUGGUUUAUUAAGUCUGGUGUAAAAGGCAGUGGCUCAACUAUUGCAUGCAUUGGAAACUGGUAGACUUGAGUGCAGGAGAGGAGAGUGGAAUUCCAUGUGUAGCGGUGAAAUGCGUAGAUAUAUGGAGGAACACCGGUGGCGAAAGCGGCUCUCUGGCCUGUAACUGACACUGAGGCUCGAAAGCGUGAGGAGCAAACAGG
Molecule: ribosomal RNA, 252 nt
Filed under: uncultured bacterium
Lineage: Bacteria
Description: partial 16S ribosomal RNA
Rfam family: Bacterial small subunit ribosomal RNA
Source: RNAcentral